UUCUCCAAACUGUUCCACUUUGCAUUAUAAAGUGUUUAAUAUGGAAGUUCAACCUAUUCUAUUCCAGGCUCAACAUACUCCAGAACCUGAAGAAAACUAGUCUCAGGGAGAACGUUAGAACAACAUUUGCAGCUUAACAUUUCAGCGCAGAUCCUUGAAGGUAUCUUCAGACCUACACCUUGCCAGAAGAGUUUCACUGAGGGCUGAGAUGAGGAUCCAAGCUGGUGGAUUUCAUGUUGGGAUUUAGACACCUAAACACGUAGGUGGCUUAUUUUCUUCGUGAUAAGUGAUUUGCUUGUGGCAACACAAGAUGCUUGUGAUCUAACAGGCACUGUCUCAAGCUCCAUCACAGGCUAAGCUGUAUUCACUCUACUGGAUUUGCCAUCAUGAGACAGUAGCAAGUCACCAAAAUGUUGACUCAAUAGGCUAAAUAUGAAAGGAAUCAGUGGUCUGUCUCCAAAGGCUAAAGGAAGGUAAGAAAAUAAUAAAAGUCACCAAAACAAAUGCAAUUAAGUGGUCACUUGGCUCGACCCCUCAGCACCCUCUCAGUAUGAAAGAGCUGGAGAGAGGUAGGGGCAACUGUGGCUGGGAGAGUGCAAGAGAAGAACAGCUGAAGCCCAAGAAAAAGUAGUGUCGGCACAUUCAAAGGUGUAGAAGCAAAGAAAGGAGUUCAGUAAGUACCAAGCCUGCAGUGAAAUAAGGAAGAAUGGAUUAUUUAACCUCUGGAAGUUGAAAGCUUGACCAUAGAAUAGCAUUUUUCUACAGACAACUAAAUAUUAAGGUAUUAGUUAAACAGGAAUGUACAGUCACAGACAGAAACAUGUAUUGUCUGAAAGAGUUAUUCAGAAGAAAGAAUGAAAUACCCAAAGAGCUGAAUAUUACAGAAAAUCUGGAACUGCCAGUGAAAAACUAGGAUAAAGUUUUAUUUCUAAAAUGGAAGGCACCAUCUUCCAAAUGGAACCUAAACCCCUUGCAGUUUCAGUAUGCAUCACACAUUACUCACAUUACUGAUCCACAGGUGGAGAGGACAUGAGGUGAGCCUGGUAAAGUCUGAAGGAGAGCCAUCAUGGAACUUGAAGCAGUGAAAAAAAAAAAGAAAAAAAAAAAAGAUAAAAUACAUCCUCAAUUAAAUUAUAACUCAGUAUGCACAAAGUCAAAUGACUUCUGGCUCAGUUUCUCAGAGAAAAUUAGAUAGUUCUGCUCCAAGUGGAAGAAAAAUGUAUCCUUUUGCAAGUGUAUUUCUCUGUGUUAUGCUUUUAACUACCAGCUUUUAAAUCAUGUCUGAAGAGGCCUGGGAAAGCACAUUAGCACCUCUCCACAAGCGCUGUGUUUGAACAUGAUUGGCUUGGGGAGAGGGGAAUGAAAGAUUUCCAGACUCAGUGCAGACAAAGCCCAAAGGCUGUUGGCGUAAGUACAAAGCCAGAGUAGUGCUUCAAGAAAACAGAAAGAAAAUGCCUUUAAAGCAGAAUUCACCAAAAUGACAUGAAACAGCAAACAGGAGACGGGGCCUUUGAGAGCAGUUUUUCACAAUUAGGUCACUGCUCUUUUGUGAAUGUUGAAGGUGUUCCACAACAGGAGUCAGAAGCCUGCUGAAAGCCUGUUCCAAAAACCCUUCUGGAGCCCCUGGCUCAGUUCUCACCAUUGCAAUUAUCAGACUGCCAGGGCAACUGAUACAGCAAAUUGACUGUUCACUUCCAAAGCUGCUUGCUGUUGGUCUUACAGAGUUAAUGCAAGUGCUCUGGGAAGCAGCAGCCGCCAGCAGUGUGCCUGGAGCAGCUCACAACAUCCGCUGAGGGAGUGAGAGACUUACCAGCCAUUUCUGUGUGUGUGGAAGGACACAGGGCAGUGCAAAGUUAUCAGCCGCAUUUAAAACGUCCCUCUUUUUGUGACCGUCACUCUCCUUUCCCUGACGCCAGGUUAGCAGAGCGCUUUCCCGUGCCCUGUGUUUUAAAGAACAAGCAGAGGUCCUGCGUGUGUUUCUGGCUUGGUGUUUGCAGCCCCUGGCAACCAGCUCUGUCAGACAGAGACAUCCAAGUGAGCAUUAGCCUGUAGUUGCACCCUGCGCCCAGGAGAGGAUUUCACAUUUGAAAGGAGCUCACCGCAGUGGAGCCAGGUCAGGAGGAAGAGCACAGGAUAUGCAACUGCAGCCUAUCAGGGCAGCUUUUCAGGGAGAUGGACAAGGUGUGGUGGGAAGUCAGAAGGGGAGUCCAAGUCAGAAUGGGAAGUGAGAGCACUAUGUUCCAUCUUCCCCUUCUGCUGCAGCUGUGGGACAAAAAGAGACACUGCUGCUGCUUUACAGGCCACUUCCUCCCACUGAUGUCAGGAGCACAAUAUGUAUGUGGAGAGACCCCCGUGCCAAUAUAAUGGAGAACCAACUCCAGUUUGAAGACAGCCAGCACUGCAAAGUAAUGCUUGGAAUCCUGACUGGAUUUGCCAGCAUCACUCACAGACACUGAGAACACUCUUUGAGAUGUAUUCUUUGGCUUCUUAAAUUGUUAAGAUGAAAUUUAGCUGAUAACAUGCUGACUGUGCUAACCACAGAGGCUGGAAGUAAGAUUUGGUAUAUGGUGGCUUUAAAAAUUAAAUAUCCAUAGAUUAUCUUAAUUUGUGUGUUAAUACAUAUGUUAUGGGCUACACUAAGUUAUACUGAAAGAUAAGACAGUUUUGUCAAAGCCUUCAACUCUGAUUUUUACUAACUCUUCUCUUACUUUGUCCUUGUUUUCAAUAAAUAAUUGAGAUUAAAUUGCAAGUAACUAAACCAAACAUCCUUCUAGGAUGUUUCUUCACUGCUUUGCUCACAAGAAUAUUAACUAAGACUAUCUCUGCUUCAUUGUAAAAUAUUGAAAAUAAGACAAAACACAUUGCUGACUCCAUAUGGAUACUGGUAAUACUGUCAUCUCCACUGAAGUACAAAAACCAGACUUCAAAUUCCUUUAACAUGUUGUAUUCUAUGGGACAAAAUGCACAGCCCGCUUUCCACACAGGUAUAUUCUUUCAUGAAAUGCACUAGCUCACUCCUGCCAAAAACGGUCAGUUCUUCAUCCUCCUCACAUUGCCAUGUGAUUUAACUGGAUAAUCCCCCAGUUUAUUGGCUCUGCUGCCUGCCUCAGAGUCUGGUAAGCCACUUGUCCACCGUCUCUGUAGUCAGCUUCCAAUGAGUACUUCCUGCACAACAGUUGGGGAAUUGGAGCUGUUGUCAGGCUGUGGGUUACACCAUGGUACAGGGGACUGAGAUUGCUCCAUCUAGCAAUGGGCUGCAAGAUUUGUUCUCUGAAUCAUACAACAUCUUCCCGCAAUGUUACAUUUCUCGACUACUUAAUUCUUUAUCCAAAUGGUAAGACAUGUUAUCUUGGCACUCCUCACUCUUCCUUCCCCAAAUUCCUAGCUCUGACAACUUAAAUUUCUCUUUAUUUAUUUGUUGAAAUUGUACACAAUAAAUAUUUUUUUCAUGCA
Molecule: long non-coding RNA, 3453 nt
Organism: Corvus hawaiiensis (hawaiian crow)
Lineage: Eukaryota; Metazoa; Chordata; Aves; Passeriformes; Corvidae
Exons: 4
Source: RefSeq, a predicted model, not a curated record